AGCAGCCGCGGUAAUUCCAGCUCCAAUAGCGUAUAUUAAAGUUGUUGCAGUUAAAAAGCUCGUAGUUGAAUUUCGAGAUCAGUACGCUGGUCGUGCCUUCGGUAUGCACUGGUGUCACUGGUUUCUCCCUUCUGAAGAACCGUUAUGUCAUUAAGUUGGUGUGGCGGGAAUCAGGACUGUUACUUUGAAAAAAUUAGAGUGUUUAAAGCAGGCUCGACGCUUGAAUACAUUAGCAUGGAAUAAUGAAAUAGGACGUUUGACCCUAUUUUGUUGGUUUCUAGGAUCGACGUAAUGAUUAAUAGGGAUAGUUGGGGGCAUUAGUAUUCAAUUGUCAGAGGUGAAAUUCUUGGAUUUAUUGAAGACUAACUACUGCGAAAGCAUUUGCCAAGGAUGUUUUCAUUAAUCAAGAACGAAAGUUAGGGGAUCGAAGACGAUCAGAUACCGUCGUAGUCUUAACCAUAAACCUAUGCCGACUAGGAAUCAGACGAUGUUAAUUUUUUAAUGUACUCG
This 510-nucleotide ribosomal RNA is filed under the name uncultured Glomeraceae. RNAcentral describes it as "SSU rRNA". It matches the Rfam family "Eukaryotic small subunit ribosomal RNA", at positions 569 to 1082 of the family's 1831-position model. Lineage: Eukaryota; Fungi; Glomeromycota; Glomeromycetes; Glomerales; Glomeraceae. The record is from RNAcentral.